CCAGCCGUAAACGAUGGACACUAGGUGUUGGAGGUUCGAAUCCUUCAGUGCCGCAGUUAACGCAUUAAGUGUCCCGCCUGGGGAGUACGGUCGCAAGACUGAAACUCAAAGGAAUUGACGGGGGCCCGCACAAGCGGUGGAGCAUGUGGUUUAAUUCGAUGCAACGCGCAGAACCUUACCGAGACUUGACAUCCCGUGACUAUCUGUGAAAGCAGAGUCUGCCUUCGGGCACACGGUGACAGGUGG
This 246-nucleotide ribosomal RNA is filed under the name uncultured Halocella sp. RNAcentral's name for it is "partial 16S ribosomal RNA". It matches the Rfam family "Bacterial small subunit ribosomal RNA", at positions 796 to 1041 of the family's 1533-position model. Lineage: Bacteria; Bacillati; Bacillota; Clostridia; Halanaerobiales; Halanaerobiaceae. The record is from RNAcentral.